Molecule: long non-coding RNA, 2771 nt
Filed under: Podarcis lilfordi (Lilford's wall lizard)
Lineage: Eukaryota; Metazoa; Chordata; Lepidosauria; Squamata; Lacertidae
Source: RNAcentral
CCUGAGUGAAGACUUCAGCACUUGGUCUUCACUGGGCUUAUAAAGAUGCCUCGAAGGGACUUGCCGGCUCUGUCAAAGCUGAAUUCCCCACCCUCCCAUCCAAUGUAGCAUAUGGCCCUGCCCGCAGGUGGGCAGGCAGAUUCUGUGUAUGACCUUGCUAUGGAAAUAUUCAGUUGUCAUAUUUGGAGCCAGGGAGGAAUUUGACGGCAGGCAAAUUGAGAGUUUUGCCUACCUCAUAGCAAUUGUCACAACUUGUUGGCAGAUAAUGCAUUGGAUGCAGCCCUUAGUCUAGGCAGGGGCAGGGUUGGGAGCCCACCCACCCCCUGCUUCAGGGAAUCAGGGAUACUCUGUUAAAGGAGUCCAGGGGAGGUGCUUUCUAGAUGCCCAACAUAGAGUCAGUAGGCCAUAGCACCCCCUAAAAUGGCAGUCUUGGAGGGAUAAGUCCUAUCUGGGAGAUCUCAAAAAAGCUGGAGGUGUCUACCUUACCAGCUGCAACUUUCUGGGAGAAGACAGGAGUGGAGGGUGCCUUUGGCAGGGCUUUGGGCUUGGAUACAGGCUGUGGGCUUUCCUCCCUGGCUUCUCCUUCCAAUACCCUGCCCAUGAAAGAGCACCAUGCUUACUAGCAGAGGACGCAAUCUUGUGGGAUGUCGGCUGCUCCUGCUGCUCAAGGGGCUUCCUGCAUGUGGGGCCACAAUUUGGAGCUACAGGACAGAUUGGAGGUUCUGUGCACAGUCCCUAGGAUACAGGCAUGAGGUCCGUGCUUCAAGGCACAAUUGGCACAUGGAACACAAGUAGGUGGGAGGAUCAUCCCACUUCCCUUCCACAUGCCCAGCCUACACUGUUGGAAUACCAUCUGUCUCUAUCUGCCACAACCAACCACAGUGUUGUGCCCAUCUCCAAAAGGGCUGGAUGAGAAACACUGACCCUUUUCUCCUGUUUUUAGUGGAACAGAAGAUCCAAUUCGGUAGUGCUAGGCUCUGAUUGAUUUAUUCUACUUACCCUAGCACCAUUAAGGCUCACUUUUAAUUUACUUCAAAUAUAUACAGCCACUCUGUCUAAUAAUGACUAAAAUCAAAACCAGGUGAGAGUUCACCAGACCAUGGACAACUGAGGCCAGGCUAUCCCAACUGAGGGACGGCUGUAACUGGUGAAUCACCCUAAGCACUCCUAGCCACAGAAACCAUUUGAGACUCUGGUGAGAAGUUGGAAUCCAGGAGCACUGCCAGACAAUGAACCUGUUCCUUCAGGUGGAGUGUAGAUGAUAUGGCUGCUAGCUGGUGGAAUCCAGCAGAGGUUUUAUGGGAGGUCAGUAAGAUGUUGCUCCUUCUACUCCUCCCGCUAUCUCUGCCUGCCUCCUACUAUGUGGUAUCCACACACACACCCUUCAUUGCUGGAGUGACACAAGGUCCACUGUAGUUAUCGCGUCUGGAUUUGAAAAGUCUUGGCCAAAUGUGUGAGCUCAAGCCAGACUCGCCACAUCAUUUACCCAGAAAGAAAAUUUAGAAGUGGUGCAGUUUCUCUCUUUGUGCUUGCCUGUUUGCACCGAUGCACAUUUCACAGGGAGACAAUAGAGCGUAAAAAAAAGGAGAGAGAUUGAUGAAGAGCAAUUAACACCCUCCAAAUGCACACGAUUCCUUUGUGAGACCCUUGUUAUUUGAGAUCAAAAAUAUGUCACUGAGCUUUAAAAUGAAUGCAUCAAGCUCUUUCAGGCAUCACUAUAGCGAAUUUUAAUCACAGUCACCAGAAACACAAAAGCAUCGCCAAGUAUUUAAGGACAGGAUUUGGGCAACAGAUAAAUAAUUGGAUGGCAUUUGGCUUUAAUCAAGAUUCCCUACAAUAACUUAUUUGUAUUCUUGCAUCCUGAUGCCAUGACAAAAGCCUGAAGCAUUUCAAAAGCAUUUACUUGAGGGAGGGGGUUGAGGAGAGCUUUGGUGCUGUUCUAAUUGUAUGAAAUUGAGUUUAUGUCCCUUAAGCAAAGAUACUGCUAAUUUUUGACACUAAUUGUGAAGAAGUAUGACUAGAGAAUGGCAAAUUUUCAAGGCAAAUCUGAAAUUGAACAAAUUGCAGCCAUUCUGUUGGUGCAGAUGUGAAUCUUCAAGAAAAGAAUGGCUUUGAUUUGAUCAAUGUAUUUUAGAAUCAUUAUUCAUUUCUGCUCUAAGCAGAGUUAGCCAAGAUGUACGUCUCUCUAACACAGACCAGGAUCAGAUGCUGUGGGUUCUGACACACCCAGCCCACGUCCAUUCUGCCACCAUUUUUAGUCAUUAACUUUCAGUGCCAGCAGUACUGUUGCAAUGGUGCUGUUUCAAGAUGACUAUUUUAAAUGGCGCUUGCUCAUUUCUAUUAUUAUUUAAGAUAUCUGAUACUGCUCUUCCUCCAAGGAGCUCACGGUGACAUACAUGCCUCCCCACAUUGUAUCCUCAUAACCUUUUGUGGUAGGUUGAUCUAUUAUUAUUAUAGGUUUUUUUAUUAUACUUUCCUAAUCUCCCCUCUUUUUGCUAUCUUGUUACCUUGCAUUUUCCAUCCUUUACUUUCAGCUGCCUCCCCUGAAUGGGUGAGGUUCCUGUGUAGCAGCAGAAGGUGCCAGAAGGUGCAAGGAAUUUCACCCCUUCAAGAAUUUGCAUGUAAGAUUGAAUUUACUAAGUGCCAUUUGGUCUGCUGUCAGGUGUACAACCCCACAACUUCAGUUGUGCUCUGAUUGAUUGAUUUGAUGGGGCUAUUUCAUUAUUAGAUGGAAUGGCUUUGUAUCUGUGAAGUAACAAAUUAAACAAUUA